RNAcentral lists this ribosomal RNA (3873 nucleotides) under Drosophila melanogaster (fruit fly). RNAcentral's name for it is "eukaryotic LSU rRNA". The stretch from base 576 to 3343 matches the Rfam family "Eukaryotic large subunit ribosomal RNA". Lineage: Eukaryota; Metazoa; Arthropoda; Insecta; Diptera; Drosophilidae. The record is from RNAcentral.
AAAACUCUAAGCGGUGGAUCACUCGGCUCAUGGGUCGAUGAAGAACGCAGCAAACUGUGCGUCAUCGUGUGAACUGCAGGACACAUGAACAUCGACAUUUUGAACGCAUAUCGCAGUCCAUGCUGUUAUGUACUUUAAUUAAUUUUAUAGUGCUGCUUGGACUACAUAUGGUUGAGGGUUGUAAGACUAUGCUAAUUAAGUUGCUUAUAAAUUUUUAUAAGCAUAUGGUAUAUUAUUGGAUAAAUAUAAUAAUUUUUAUUCAUAAUAUUAAAAAAUAAAUGAAAAACAUUAUCUCACAUUUGAAUGUGAAAAACGAAGAGAAAUAUUUUCUUUUUCAAUCAAAUAAUACUGAGAAAUGUCUAGCAUAAAAAAUUGAAAUAUUUUUCAUCUAGAAUUGUCUCUUAUUAAUGAUUCGGAAAUAGAAAAAUCUUGGUUAUGUUAUUAUUCUUCGUUGGUUCGUUAAAAAUGGAUAAAUAAAAACUUUGCAUACAAGAAUUAAUAAAAAUGUUAUAACGAAUUUAAUUAAAUGUUUUAUCAUUAUAUAUAAAGAAUUUAUGGCAAGAUAAAGUUAUAUACAACCUCAACUCAUAUGGGACUACCCCCUGAAUUUAAGCAUAUUAAUUAGGGGAGGAAAAGAAACUAACAAGGAUUUUCUUAGUAGCGGCGAGCGAAAAGAAAACAGUUCAGCACUAAGUCACUUUGUCUAUAUGGCAAAUGUGAGAUGCAGUGUAUGGAGCGUCAAUAUUCUAGUAUGAGAAAUUAACGAUUUAAGUCCUUCUUAAAUGAGGCCAUUUACCCAUAGAGGGUGCCAGGCCCGUAUAACGUUAAUGAUUACUAGAUGAUGUUUCCAAAGAGUCGUGUUGCUUGAUAGUGCAGCACUAAGUGGGUGGUAAACUCCAUCUAAAACUAAAUAUAACCAUGAGACCGAUAGUAAACAAGUACCGUGAGGGAAAGUUGAAAAGAACUCUGAAUAGAGAGUUAAACAGUACGUGAAACUGCUUAGAGGUUAAGCCCGAUGAACCUGAAUAUCCGUUAUGGAAAAUUCAUCAUUAAAAUUGUAAUAUUUAAAUAAUAUUAUGAGAAUAGUGUGCAUUUUUUCCAUAUAAGGACAUUGUAAUCUAUUAGCAUAUACCAAAUUUAUCAUAAAAUAUAACUUAUAGUUUAUUCCAAUUAAAUUGCUUGCAUUUUAACACAGAAUAAAUGUUAUUAAUUUGAUAAAGUGCUGAUAGAUUUAUAUGAUUACAGUGCGUUAAUUUUUCGGAAUUAUAUAAUGGCAUAAUUAUCAUUGAUUUUUGUGUUUAUUAUAUGCACUUGUAUGAUUAACAAUGCGAAAGAUUCAGGAUACCUUCGGGACCCGUCUUGAAACACGGACCAAGGAGUCUAACAUAUGUGCAAGUUAUUGGGAUAUAAACCUAAUAGCGUAAUUAACUUGACUAAUAAUGGGAUUAGUUUUUUAGCUAUUUAUAGCUGCUAAUUAACACAAUCCCGGGGCGUUCUAUAUAGUUAUGUAUAAUGUAUAUUUAUAUUAUUUAUGCCUCUAACUGGAACGUACCUUGAGCAUAUAUGCUGUGACCCGAAAGAUGGUGAACUAUACUUGAUCAGGUUGAAGUCAGGGGAAACCCUGAUGGAAGACCGAAACAGUUCUGACGUGCAAAUCGAUUGUCAGAAUUGAGUAUAGGGGCGAAAGACCAAUCGAACCAUCUAGUAGCUGGUUCCUUCCGAAGUUUCCCUCAGGAUAGCUGGUGCAUUUUAAUAUUAUAUAAAAUAAUCUUAUCUGGUAAAGCGAAUGAUUAGAGGCCUUAGGGUCGAAACGAUCUUAACCUAUUCUCAAACUUUAAAUGGGUAAGAACCUUAACUUUCUUGAUAUGAAGUUCAAGGUUAUGAUAUAAUGUGCCCAGUGGGCCACUUUUGGUAAGCAGAACUGGCGCUGUGGGAUGAACCAAACGUAAUGUUACGGUGCCCAAAUUAACAACUCAUGCAGAUACCAUGAAAGGCGUUGGUUGCUUAAAACAGCAGGACGGUGAUCAUGGAAGUCGAAAUCCGCUAAGGAGUGUGUAACAACUCACCUGCCGAAGCAACUAGCCCUUAAAAUGGAUGGCGCUUAAGUUGUAUACCUAUACAUUACCGCUAAAGUAGAUGAUUUAUAUUACUUGUGAUAUAAAUUUUGAAACUUUAGUGAGUAGGAAGGUACAAUGGUAUGCGUAGAAGUGUUUGGCGUAAGCCUGCAUGGAGCUGCCAUUGGUACAGAUCUUGGUGGUAGUAGCAAAUAAUCGAAUGAGACCUUGGAGGACUGAAGUGGAGAAGGGUUUCGUGUGAACAGUGGUUGAUCACGAGUUAGUCGGUCCUAAGUUCAAGGCGAAAGCCGAAAAUUUUCAAGUAAAACAAAAAUGCCUAACUAUAUAAACAAAGCGAAUUAUAAUACACUUGAAUAAUUUUGAACGAAAGGGAAUACGGUUCCAAUUCCGUAACCUGUUGAGUAUCCGUUUGUUAUUAAAUAUGGGCCUCGUGCUCAUCCUGGCAACAGGAACGACCAUAAAGAAGCCGUCGAGAGAUAUCGGAAGAGUUUUCUUUUCUGUUUUAUAGCCGUACUACCAUGGAAGUCUUUCGCAGAGAGAUAUGGUAGAUGGGCUAGAAGAGCAUGACAUAUACUGUUGUGUCGAUAUUUUCUCCUCGGACCUUGAAAAUUUAUGGUGGGGACACGCAAACUUCUCAACAGGCCGUACCAAUAUCCGCAGCUGGUCUCCAAGGUGAAGAGUCUCUAGUCGAUAGAAUAAUGUAGGUAAGGGAAGUCGGCAAAUUAGAUCCGUAACUUCGGGAUAAGGAUUGGCUCUGAAGAUUGAGAUAGUCGGGCUUGAUUGGGAAACAAUAACAUGGUUUAUGUGCUCGUUCUGGGUAAAUAGAGUUUCUAGCAUUUAUGUUAGUUACUUGUUCCCCGGAUAGUUUAGUUACGUAGCCAAUUGUGGAACUUUCUUGCUAAAAUUUUUAAGAAUACUAUUUGGGUUAAACCAAUUAGUUCUUAUUAAUUAUAACGAUUAUCAAUUAACAAUCAAUUCAGAACUGGCACGGACUUGGGGAAUCCGACUGUCUAAUUAAAACAAAGCAUUGUGAUGGCCCUAGCGGGUGUUGACACAAUGUGAUUUCUGCCCAGUGCUCUGAAUGUCAAAGUGAAGAAAUUCAAGUAAGCGCGGGUCAACGGCGGGAGUAACUAUGACUCUCUUAAGGUAUUAAGCCAUUUUAGUGAAUGGAUAUAGUACUGUAAGCUAGCUGUUCUACGACAGAGGGUUCAAAAACUACUAUAGGUAGGCAGUGGUUGCCGACCUCUCAUAUUGUUCAAAACGUAUGUGUUCAUAUGAUUUUGGCAAUUAUAUGAGUAAAUUAAAUCAUAUACAUAUGAAAAUAAAUAUUUAUUAUAUGUAUAUGGAAAAAUGUUGAAAUAUUCCCAUAUUCUCUAAGUAUUAUAGAGAAAAGCCAUUUUAGUGAAUGGAUAUAGUAGUGUAAGCUAGCUGUUUUACGACAGAGGGUUCAAAAACUACUAUAGGUAGGCAGUGGUUGCCGACCUCUCACAGAGCUUCUACGUAGGCUCGAGUGAGAUUCCAUCACUGAAGCGCACGGACGAGUGGAAGUACUUAGGCAUCAACUUCACUGCAACCGGGAGGGUUCGAUGCAAUCCGGCCGAGGACAUUGGUCCAAAGCUACAAAGAUUGACAAAGGCCCCCUCAAACCACAACAGAGGUUGUUCGCCCUUCGGACUGUCCUUAUCCCACAGCUCUACCACAAGUUAGCCCUUGGGAGUGUGGCGAUAGGCGUCCUAAGAAAAACUGAUAAACUUAUAAGAUAUUAUGUGCGAAGAUGGCUAAAUCUUCCGCUGGAUGU